UGGGGAAUAUUGCACAAUGGAGGGAACUCUGAUGCAGCGACGCCGCGUGAACGAAGAAGGCUUUCGAGUCGUAAAGUUCUUUUAUAUGGGAAGAUAAUGACGGUACCAUAAGAAAAUGCCCCGGCUAACUACGUGCCAGCAGCCGCGGUAAUACGUAGGGGGCUAGCGUUGUCCGGAAUCACUGGGCGUAAAGGGUUCGCAGGCGGAAAUGCAAGUCAGGUGUAAAAGGCAGUAGCUUAACUACUGUAAGCAUUUGAAACUGCAUAUCUUGAGAAGAGUAGAGGUAAGUGGAAUUUUUAGUGUAGCGGUGAAAUGCGUAGAUAUUAAAAAGAAUACCGGUGGCGAAGGCGACUUACUGGGCUCAUUCUGACGCUGAGGAACGAAAGCGUGGGUAGCAAACAGG
This 403-nucleotide ribosomal RNA is filed under the name bacterium. RNAcentral's name for it is "partial 16S ribosomal RNA". It matches the Rfam family "Bacterial small subunit ribosomal RNA", at positions 355 to 776 of the family's 1533-position model. The record is from RNAcentral.